GAUGAACGCUGGCGGCGUGCUUAACACAUGCAAGUCGAACGAAGCAUUUAAGACAGAUUACUUCGGUUUGAAGUCUUUUAUGACUGAGUGGCGGACGGGUGAGUAACGCGUGGGUAACCUGCCUCAUACAGGGGGAUAGCAGCUGGAAACGGCUGGUAAUACCGCAUAAGCGCACAGUACCACAUGGUACAGUGUGAAAAACUCCGGUGGUAUGAGAUGGACCCGCGUCUGAUUAGCUUGUUGGCGGGGUAACGGCCCAGCAAGGCGACGAUCAGUAGCCGACCUGAGAGGGUGACCGGCCACAUUGGGACUGAGACACGGCCCAGACUCCUACGGGAGGCAGCAGUGGGGAAUAUUGCACAAUGGAGGAAACUCUGAUGCAGCGACGCCGCGUGAGUGAAGAAGUAGUUCGCUAUGUAAAGCUCUAUCAGCAGGGAAGAUAGUGACGGUACCUGACUAAGAAGCUCCGGCUAAAUACGU
RNAcentral lists this ribosomal RNA (480 nucleotides) under uncultured bacterium. RNAcentral describes it as "partial 16S ribosomal RNA". It matches the Rfam family "Bacterial small subunit ribosomal RNA", at positions 28 to 506 of the family's 1533-position model. The record is from RNAcentral.